AACACAUGCAAGUCGAGCGCCCCGCAAGGGGAGCGGCAGACGGGUGAGUAACGCGUGGGAAUCUACCUUUUGCUACGGAAUAACGCAGGGAAACUUGUGCUAAUACCGUAUGUGUCCUUCGGGAGAAAGAUUUAUCGGCAAGAGAUGAGCCCGCGUUGGAUUGGCUAGUUGGUGGGGUAAAGGCCUACCAAGGCGACGAUCCAUAGCUGGUCUGAGAGGAUGAUCAGCCACAUUGGGACUGAGACACGGCCCAAACUCCUACGGGAGGCAGCAGUGGGGAAUAUUGGACAAUGGGCGCAAGCCUGAUCCAGCCAUGCCGCGUGAGUGAUGAAGGCCCUAGGGUUGUAAAGCUCUUUCACCGGAGAAGAUAAUGACGGUAUCCGGAGAAGAAGCCCCGGCUAACUUCGUGCCAGCCGCCGCGGUAA
This 425-nucleotide ribosomal RNA is filed under the name uncultured Hyphomicrobiales bacterium. RNAcentral describes it as "bacterial SSU rRNA". It matches the Rfam family "Bacterial small subunit ribosomal RNA", at positions 50 to 523 of the family's 1533-position model. Lineage: Bacteria; Pseudomonadati; Pseudomonadota; Alphaproteobacteria; Hyphomicrobiales. The record is from RNAcentral.